UGGGGAAUAUUGCACAAUGGGCGCAAGCCUGAUGCAGCCAUGCCGCGUGUAUGAAGAAGGCCUUCGGGUUGUAAAGUACUUUCAGCGGGGAGGAAGGGAGUAAAGUUAAUACCUUUGCUCAUUGACGUUACCCGCAGAAGAAGCACCGGCUAACUCCGUGCCAGCAGCCGCGGUAAUACGGAGGGUGCAAGCGUUAAUCGGAAUUACUGGGCGUAAAGCGCACGCAGGCGGUUGAUUGAGUCAGAUGUGAAAUCCCCGGGCUUAACCCGGGAAUUGCAUCUGAUACUGGUCAGCUAGAGUCUUGUAGAAGGGGGUAGAAUUCCAUGUGUAGCGGUGAAAUGCGUAGAGAUGUGGAGGAAUACCGGUGGCGAAGGCGGCCCCCUGGACAAAGACUGACGCUCAGGUGCGAAAGCGUGGGGAGCAAACAGG
Molecule: ribosomal RNA, 429 nt
Filed under: Chloroflexota bacterium
Lineage: Bacteria; Bacillati; Chloroflexota
Description: Chloroflexi bacterium partial 16S ribosomal RNA
Rfam family: Bacterial small subunit ribosomal RNA
Source: RNAcentral